This 543-nucleotide ribosomal RNA is filed under the name Triticum aestivum (bread wheat). RNAcentral describes it as "partial small subunit ribosomal RNA". The record is from RNAcentral. Lineage: Eukaryota; Viridiplantae; Streptophyta; Magnoliopsida; Poales; Poaceae.
AUGAAUGCCAUCAAUGGAAACUUUAAUGCGCCUAACGCAGGAUCCUCGCACGUUCAAAAUUCAUUCUGUGUUAGAUGCCUCCUUUCGGGCCACAAUAGGCCCAGCUGCACCAAUCGUAUCAAGUGUCGGUCAUGCAAGUGUUGGGGCCACAUUGCGAGAGACUGCUUCUCCUCGGCCCAACACAACCCACCCCCAAGAUCCAACUCAGCAGCCCGUUUGGCGAUUGAGUUUCCUAGGCAAGACUGCACUGUUCCCGCGAUUGUGACUACACAUCCCUCCCAUCAACUGACCAACCGGGAUCAUCCAGUUAAUGCUCCUCCGCUAUCAACCCCGAUACGUAGCCACCAUUGCCGGACCUCCCAAAUCUCCACCACCCAAAGACUCCAAGCCGCAGUUAUCCAACCAUCCUCGCCGCCACUCAAUCCAUCGUCUCCGACCUUGCGUAGCUCUUCGUCCAUGGCUACAUUCCCCUUUGACCCUACACCUUUUAUUCCACCCAAUCAUCAGAGUAUCCAGGUGGAAGGAAGGCCAGCAAGGGUUUGA